UGGCAUCAAUCAUUUAUUUUUUUAAGCAUGUAUUUUAAGAUGCCCUGGGUUCAAUUCAAGUUUGUUAUUUGUGUGUUUAAAACAUAGGCUAUUAUGCUCUCAGCCUUUGGUUAAAUAUUUAAGUUAGCAUUUUAGUGACUUUUUGUUGUUGUUGUUGUUAAGUAAUAUUGGCUUUUAUUAAAUGCAUUUCUACAAAUCAUUUUAAGAGAAACCAUUGAAAAUUAGCAAUGUGAUUUGUAUUUUUUAAGUCAGUGAUAGAAAAUAAAAGAACAAGGGGACACCUAUUAAUUAAAAUUCCCAUGCACUCGCAAGACAGGCUAGAAGUUGAUAGAUGCACAGAAGGGAAACUGAUGGAUGCAGGAAGAUGACCCUGUGGGUGUCUUUAAUAAAACUCCACUCUUUGUGUUCAAUUUCUUCUUCAUUUUUAAUGAAGAAUGCAGUUAUCCUAAUGUAAUUACAAUAAUCACAACACUUGCCUCUUCCCCUCCCUCCAUCUAAACCCUCCCAUACACACCCCUUUCUGCCUUUCCAUUUCAUGUCUCUUCUUUCAAACUCACCUCUCCUGUUCCCAGCCUUCCCCGGGUGCCUUCAGUUCCCUGUGGAGGGGUCAGGUCGCCUGGGCUCUUCUCCAUCCACGUUAGCGCAUCCAUUGAUUUAAGUCUUGUAGACUUCUUUUUCUUGCCUUUUAAAAAAUGUAUUCCAUGUGCUUGUGUGUAAGUGUGCGGGUGCACACGUGUGACUGAGCACCUGCCGAAGUCAGAGGACAACUUUUGGGAAUCAGUUUUCUCCUUCCACCAUGUGGGUCCAGGGGUGGAAUUCAGAUUGUUAGUUAGUAUUGGCCGCAGACGCUUUUAUUUCCUGAGCCCAUCUCUCCAGCCUGAUAUCCCUACCCUUUAUUUAUAAAAGUCUCACCUAAGCAUUUUAAGCUAUCUAUUCCUGGGUAUUCUUUGGUUUGCUACAAUUUGUUCAUAUUUGAGCUCUCUGUUUAUUGUUGUUGUUGUUUUAUUUGUUUGUUUGUUUGUUUGUUUGUUUUUCUCUCACUAGGACUAGUUCAGCUCCAUAAACAUCCCAGGGAAAAUACUGGCUCAGUUCCUCUCCUUCUGAGGUGUUGCAGUAGAGGUGAAACUGGCAGUUUAUAAAGCUUUGAACACAGGUCCAUGUAACUGAGUUUUCACCACGUGGCUUGUGGGCUCCGCCUACUCAUUCACUCUUUCAUUUGUAUGUAUACUUGUGUGUGUGCCUGGAUGAGUUUGUGUGUACUCUAUGUGUUCAGGUGCCUGGGGAGACUAGAAGGUAGGUAUCAAAUGCCCUGAAACCAGGAGUUACAGGCAAUUGUGAGCUGUCCGACCUGAGUGCUUGGAACCAAACCUGGUGAUAGGUUAUUUCUCCACUGCCAGUGAAAUGAGCCAAUUUAAGCCAGAUUAGAUUAUAUUAAAGACAGGUUUGUUGGGAAGCUGUUCUUGGGUGAGUUUGCUGGCCCCAAGAAUUGAAGCCAGGGGAGUCACCAUGGGGAGGAGGUGGAAAUAAAGAGAGUUGGGCAGGAAUGUACAGAAAAGAGGUGAAGAAGGAGAAGGAGAAAGAGAAGGAGGAGACACCAAAAUAUCUCAAUUAUAUAGGGAGGAGCCUCUAGGGAAAGGGCAGCCCAGCCCCUGGGCUAGAAAGUUCAGGGUUUGGGGCAGGGUAUCCCAGGUAGGGACUAAGGGAUGCUGGGAGAACCAGAAGGUCUGGUCUGCUUUGAUGUAUAAAAUAUGCACCUCAGUCGCCUGUCCUGGGGUGAGAAACCAAACACCUGGGUCCUCUGCAAGAUCAGUGAAUGCUAUCAACCAGUGAGCUUAGCCUCAUCUUGAAGUAAAAUCAUAAAGCCAGAGGAUGAGACAGUAAUCACACAGUCCAGACUUAACAGGUAAGGAAUACAGUUCCACAUUUUAUCUAGGAUCCAAGAUGUUGGUGAGUUCAAAGCCAGUUGCCUCCUCUUAAACUAAUUUUCCAGUAUUUUGUACAAAGGUAACCUUCUUUAGAGCCCUCUCUGUGCCCGUGGAGAUAGAAAUAAGCCUUUCAAUAGAAAUGUACAGCCUGUGUGAUCCAGUGGGUGAGUGAAGCACACUAGUGACUGUCUUGACUUCUCUGGUCCUGGAGGGAGGAGAGGAGACACUCAGUCACUAACAGCCCUUGGUCCUCUGUAUCAGGCAUAUAGGUUGUGAAGGGGCUGGAAGUAAAUCAAAAGAAGUAAACAGACUCCUGAGAAGUAUAAGUGCUUGAUCUGGGGCUAAAGCGAUGACUUCCUGGUUAAGACUGGCUGCUCUUACAGAGGAGCCAUCUUCUGUUCCCGGCAUCCACAUGGCAGUUCCUAACCAUCUAUCUGUGAGUCCAGUGCCAGGGACUCUGCUGGAACUGGUGAUAGCCUUUCCUGGUCCCUGUGGACACUGCAUUCAUGUAGUAUACAUAUAUACAUGCAGUCAAACAUUCAUACUCACAAAGUAGAAAUAAAUAAAUCUUAAAAGAAAAAACAGUAUUGACCAAAAUCCUAAGCAGACAUGAACCAUACACAGUGCAACGGCAUAUGUGUUAGAUCUCAAACUCUGUGUGAGAAAAGGGUAUACACUUAUGCGUCUCCAUAUAGACCAAGGAUUCCUCUAAGCCAGAGGACGACAUCCAGAGGCUUCCAUUUUUAUCUUUAAAUUUUCUCUUAUUCUAUUUUUACUUUGAUAAUUAACUAAGAUUGUUUAGAAUUGCCAUUAAAAAAUCCACAAAAUUCAGAUUCCAGAUACUAGUACUGUGUGUUAAAAUCUAUAACUACAGUGUUAUAGAUUUUUACCGUCUCCUUAUUUCAAUUUUAUCUGUUCACCCUAGCUUAAAAAAUUUAUGAAAACCAAAUCAUAGUUAUUUGAUAAUUUCAAGAUCCUUUGACUUUGGUAACAUACAUAAACAAUUUUUUUGUCUCAGUUUUAGUUACUCACCUUUUUAAAAUUCUCAUCAAUUUAAAAAUGGAAUUUAAAGCAAUUAUGAUAGGAUAUUAAAUUAUCACUUAAAAUAUUGUAUAUAAACUUUUCAGAAAAAGUUUUGUUUUCAUUUUAACUCUUAAAAUAUAAAAUGCAAAACUGUCACAAAAUUGACUAUACGUAAAAUUAAAUGUAUUUAUAAUAUGUGUGUAAGGACUAUGCAUUUUUUACUAAAAGAAGGAAGUACACCCAAUUGUUAGGCUUUAGUUGACACUGGGAUGCUACAUGCCCUUUGUGUUUGGAUGAGCUUUUAAUAUGCGAGCUGUGCUUUCUCCAGGCCAGUUCGCUGCACCCCGGGCACUCUGUGUGCAGCUUCCUGCAUCCUUUUAUUUUUUCUUUCCUUUCUCAACAUUAAUUGUGGAUACUGUUUCAUCUUAAGCUACUGUCAGGACCAGGUACAUUUGACAGGCUGAUAGAUGCUGCCACGCAUUAGAGCACACAAAACAUGGACCCUCCUGAGCAGACAUUGCGCAUACAUGUCGUAUUUUUAUAAUUUUGCUCUCCAACCACAAGGGUUCUCAGGUUUCAUACUCAAGAUAUCUCAUUAUUUACAUCCAAACACUGAAGGGCUAAAGAGAUGGGUUUAGUGGGUAAAAGCGCACACUGUCUAAGCAGAAGGGUCUGAGUUAGGAUCCCAACAUCUGGGUAAAAAGCUGAACAUAGUUGUGCUUGGGACUGGACAUGCGGCAUGGAGGAGGGUAGAGGCUGCCAGCCUUACUCUAGGUUCAGGGGGAUCCUGUCUCAAGAGAAUAAAGCGGACACCGGAAAUCCUCUUCUGUCUUUUAUACAUACUUCUACAGGUAUGAGCACUCCUGCCCCACAACACGCAUGUGCAUCUACCACACUUAUAUAUACACCCAUGAAGAAAUAAGCAUAUUUGUAUAUUCAAAUUUGAGAAGCUGUAAAAUCUGAAGCAUUCAGAUGAGGGACACACAACUUACAUACUGUAAUAAAUGUGUUGGUGGUGUUUGCUCAUACAGCACUUAUUAUGUAGCAGGUACUUUGCAGCAUAAUGCAUAACAUUGUGAGGUAGGUAGACCGUUAUCAUCUCCAUUAUAGAGAUAUAAAAAUAAUCCCGCAGAGGACAUGCAGUUUGCUCAGGAUCUCACAGCCAUUAGCAGAGGCUCUAAGAAAACACCUCCAAGGCAGUUCUUAAUGCUGGGUAUGUGGAUGUAUGUGGAUGUAGCUGCACUGUGGGAUGGGGAAGAUGGUCAUGAAGUGGUGAACUCUGUCCUAUUUAAAGAGCUGUACUUGAAUAAACUGGACUACAGACCAGAUUUCCUGUUUUGUUUUGUUUUGGUUUUUCCAAGAAACUGCAGAAGUUUGAAUUUUCUGUGCAUGUAACCUCCUAAUUAAAACAUUGAGAUAAUUCAAAGAAAAAAAGAAAUCACUGAUGGACCAAACAAAGAAACAAAUAGUUUCUACUUCUUGAUCCCGCAAGAAACAAAAUCUGAUCAUCCUUUUUGAAGGCACCUCUAGCCAGCUUAAGGUCAACUACAAAUGAACAGAAAGCACUAGACCCUUGCCAAGGCCUACUUGUCUAUUGCCCUCUCCCACUGCUGCUAAGCAUACCUCCCUGCUAACACACACACGAGCAUCCUACUAUAAGUCUAGAGUGCAGAUCUACUGACAGCCAAGCUUGCCUGAGCCAGAGCUCUCUGCCCACAAUGCUUUUAGAGGUCAACAUGAGAAUAAGAAACCACACAGCCACGUGCAAAGGUUGGUCAGUUGGCAGUCGUUUGAAUGGUGGAAUCGUCUUUAAAAAUAUACUAUUGUCCCUUCCAACUUGUUCUUGGUGAAGUAUCAGAUAAAUAAACAGAAAGAAGGACUUGAAAUGCUGAUCGGAAUCUGUGAUUUUUUUCCUCACAAACAAUUUAGUCUUCCCAGAGGAGCUAUACUGCUGCCAUCCCAGCUGCCUGAAGUGUGUAACUAUUUCCCUCAAAGCACGUGGACAGCUAGUUCAGUAAGAUCCCCAGAAACCUUUGCCCAGCUCGCUGCCCAGACAUUAUCAUUACUGCAGCAUCCUUGCAGACAGUCCACAGGCCUAGGAAACUCCAUGAUUUGAAGGCUUUUGUUCUCUUCAGUUGAUUCAUUUGAUUUCUUUCUAGGAAAAAAAAGAAAAAGAAGUUGUCUAUAUAUUUCAUGCUUCCAGUGCUCAUGGGCUAGAGACUUAAAUGUCAACUGGCUGAAAUGGUUGCUUUAAAAAAAAAAAUUCCGGGAAGAUGACUUUCCUAAUGUCAGCAGUUCUGGUUUUUGAACUGACUGGAUCUGUACCCCUGGCUGGCAUUCACACAAAAGCUUCCUACAGCUGGCCUUUCUGUUGCAGAGAUGGGAGCCCUCGCUCACCACCUCACCAUCCCCUCCCAUACCUGUGCCUGGUGGCCUCAUCUCUGUCCCAUCAUUUACAUUGUGUCUGUUCCAUUUCUUCAGCAUAAGCAUGUGAUAUGACACCUCUGCAACCCUGCCAGGAGACUCGGGCGUUCGUUUCUCCCUCCACUGUCUCACCCCCUACGGCGGGCAGCAAACUCAAUCUAUUUAGAGAGCUGUUAAUUAAGUGAACUAAAUGGGGUCAUGUAUAUAUGAACAGAGAAAAUAGAGAGAAAAUGAUAAGUGUGCUCUUUCGAAAGGACUGAGUAAGCUCUAAAGCUCUAUAAAACUUUAAAAAAUAAAAUAAAAUAAAAACCUCAAAAAAACCUCUUUGGAGAGGAUUUUCCUCCACUGUGAUCUCACUUAGGGUUUGGUUUUUUGGUUUUUUUGGUUUUGUUGUUGUUGUUUUUUCCCUGAACCAAGCACAUUUGCUUUCACUGUGCACAGUGGUUUCAGUCUCAUUACAGGUACGUUUGCAUGGUUGGGCAAAAAAGACACAGCCGCACUUCAGAGAAUGCCGAUAUUGUAAGUCCUCACCACUGCACUGUCCAGGGAAAUGCUGCUUCCUUAGAAAGGAUUUGGAAAGUGCACUGCUGAGUCUCAAAGAGGACAACCAAGGAGCAUUACAGCUACAAAUGGUCUGUUUUCAAGGCGAUGACUGGAGAACUGUUUCCCAUUGCGAAUUCGGAUAACAGGAAUUUAUUUAUGCGUCAUGUAUGUACUUACAAGCUAUGUAAGGAGAUGCACGGUGACAGCCAAUUUCUGAGAAUAUGCCUUGUCAUGAUUUCAGCAUAGGAUCUCAUGUAUGGAUAAUGUACAAAGUUGCAGGGAUGAGCCCCAGGGCACUUGGAAGCACCAUCCACAAUAUUAUUGCUCUUUAAUGUGGAAACAUGCUGUAAGGCAGAGCGAGCAAUUCCCAUGUUGCCAUUCACAGGCCCGGCUCUGGACCUUUCGAUUCAUUACACACUAGGGUCUCAUUCCUAAGGCCAAGGAAAGACAUUCACACAGCUUGACACAAUCCUUUAUGGAGCUAGCUGCUGAGGAAAUGAAAUCGCAUGUGGACCCUGAGCACGUUUGUGAAAAGUGGACCGGCAUGUGAUAACGGAUCCACCAAGUCCAAGAUCCAUAGAAGAGUUUUGAGAAAGCUGAGAAAGGACAAGUUUGAAGGCUGGAAUGGGAGCAGAAGGCACCCCUCCCCUCCUGGAAGAGAGAGGUCAUGAAGCAAGUAGGCACCUCUCCCCGUCCCCCUGAAGGGAAUGGCUGAUUACAUUCCUCAGAAAGACCACAGGAGGGACCGACCUUUGGCCACUCACAGAGUGCUCCUGAGGUCUGUAGCUAUGACAAGGUGGGACAUCCUGGAACUUCGGCUGGAAAAAAAAAAAAGGGAGAAAUG
This is a long non-coding RNA of Mus musculus (house mouse), 6759 nucleotides long. RefSeq annotates it as predicted gene, 39385. The transcript is spliced from 3 exons. Lineage: Eukaryota; Metazoa; Chordata; Mammalia; Rodentia; Muridae. The record is from RefSeq and is a predicted model, not a curated record.